GCUGGGUAUAUUGGUGUGUGCCUCUACAAUCCCUGUUAUAGGGAAGCUGAAGUUGGUGGAUUACUUGAGCUCAGGAGUUCUGAGCUACAGUAGGUUAAGCUAAUUUGGUGUCCACACUAAAUUGGGCAACAAUGUGAUGAGCCUCCUAGACUGGGGGACCACCAGGCUGCCUAAGGAGGGGCAAAAUGGCCCUGGCUGGAAAAAGAGCAAGUCUGGGGUAUAUAAAGCAAUGGAAUCAGGCCUAGGAGUGGCCACUGCACUUCCUGCCUGAGUGAGAUAGAGACUCAGUUUUU
Molecule: signal recognition particle RNA, 293 nt
Filed under: Vombatus ursinus (common wombat)
Lineage: Eukaryota; Metazoa; Chordata; Mammalia; Diprotodontia; Vombatidae
Description: Metazoan signal recognition particle RNA (ENSVURG00010001477.1)
Rfam family: Metazoan signal recognition particle RNA
About the family: The signal recognition particle (SRP) is a universally conserved ribonucleoprotein. It is involved in the co-translational targeting of proteins to membranes.
Source: RNAcentral